GGAGAGGUGGCUGAGUGGUCGAAAGCGCAUGUCUGGAGAACAUGUGAGCCGCAAGGUUCCCAGGGUUCGAAUCCCUGCCUCUCCG
RNAcentral lists this transfer RNA (85 nucleotides) under Candidatus Omnitrophota bacterium. RNAcentral describes it as "tRNA-Ser". It matches the Rfam family "tRNA". From Rfam's summary of the family: Transfer RNA (tRNA) molecules are approximately 80 nucleotides in length. Their secondary structure includes four short double-helical elements and three loops (D, anti-codon, and T loops). Further hydrogen bonds mediate the characteristic L-shaped molecular structure. tRNAs have two regions of fundamental functional importance: the anti-codon, which is responsible for specific mRNA codon recognition, and the 3' end, to which the tRNAs corresponding amino acid is attached (by aminoacyl-tRNA synthetases). tRNAs cope with the degeneracy of the genetic code in two manners: having more than one tRNA (with a specific anti-codon) for a particular amino acid; and 'wobble' base-pairing, i.e. permitting non-standard base-pairing at the 3rd anti-codon position. Lineage: Bacteria; Pseudomonadati; Candidatus Omnitrophota. The record is from RNAcentral.